Molecule: ribosomal RNA, 498 nt
Filed under: uncultured bacterium
Lineage: Bacteria
Description: partial 16S ribosomal RNA
Rfam family: Bacterial small subunit ribosomal RNA
Source: RNAcentral
GACGAACGCUGGCGGCAUGCCUAACACAUGCGAGUCGAACGGAGAUUAUUUCGGUAAUCUUAGUGGCGAACGGGUGAGUAACGCGUGGGCAACCUGCCCUCUAGAUGGGGACAACAUCCCGAAAGGGGUGCUAAUACCGAAUGUGACAGCAAUCUCGCAUGAGGAUGCUGUGAAAGAUGGCCUCUAUUUAUAAGCUAUCGCUAGAGGAUGGGCCUGCGUCUGAUUAGCUAGUUGGUGGGGUAACGGCCUACCAAGGCGAUGAUCAGUAGCCGGUCUGAGAGGAUGAACGGCCACAUUAGGACUGAGACACGGCCCAGACUCCUACGGGAGGCAGCAGUGGGGAAUCUUCCGCAAUGGGCGAAAGCCUGACGAAGCAAUGCCGCGUGAGUGAUGAAGGAAUUCGUUCCGUAAAGCUCUUUUGUUUAUGACGAAUGUGCAGAUUGUGAACAAUGAUCUGUAAUGACGGUAGUAAACGAAUAAGCCACGGCUAACUACGUG